RNAcentral lists this transfer RNA (66 nucleotides) under Pristionchus pacificus. It matches the Rfam family "tRNA". Rfam says of the family: Transfer RNA (tRNA) molecules are approximately 80 nucleotides in length. Their secondary structure includes four short double-helical elements and three loops (D, anti-codon, and T loops). The record is from Rfam by way of RNAcentral. Lineage: Eukaryota; Metazoa; Nematoda; Chromadorea; Rhabditida; Neodiplogasteridae.
GCCCGGUUACCUCAGUCGGUAGAGCACCAGACUCAUAAACUGGUUGUCGCGGGUUCGCAUCGGGCU